UACGUAGGGGGCAAGCGUUGUCCGGAUUUAUUGGGCGUAAAGAGCUCGUAGGCGGCCUGUUGCGUCCGCUGUGAAAGCCCGGGGCUUAACCCCGGGUCGGCAGUGGAUACGGGCAGGCUAGAGGUAGGUAGGGGAGAAUGGAAUUCCCGGUGUAGCGGUGAAAUGCGCAGAUAUCGGGAGGAACACCGGUGGCGAAGGCGGUUCUCUGGGCCUUACCUGACGCUGAGGAGCGAAAGCGUGGGGAGCGAACAGGAUAGAUACC
RNAcentral lists this ribosomal RNA (262 nucleotides) under uncultured bacterium. RNAcentral's name for it is "partial 16S ribosomal RNA". It matches the Rfam family "Bacterial small subunit ribosomal RNA", at positions 524 to 786 of the family's 1533-position model. The record is from RNAcentral.